Long non-coding RNA from Oncorhynchus gorbuscha (pink salmon), 2165 nucleotides. RefSeq lists it as uncharacterized. The record is from RefSeq and is a predicted model, not a curated record. NCBI's taxonomy places the organism in Eukaryota, Metazoa, Chordata, Actinopteri, Salmoniformes, Salmonidae. The transcript has 3 exons.
CAUACCCUCUUAAACUGACUAUCCUGAAAGGAUAGAGAGAGAUGGAUGGAUGGAUGGAUGGUGAGGUCCCGAGUGGUGCAGCGGUCUAAGGGACUGCAGUGCUGAGGUGCCACUAUUGCCUGGGUUUUGGCCGGGGGGCUUUAUUUGGCUCAUCGCACUCUAGCAACUCCUUGUGGCGGGCCGGGUACUUGAAAGCUGACUUCAGUCGUCCACUCCUGCGUGGAGUGUGUUUAAGAAGUAGGGGCUCGGUAAAUCAUGUUUCGGAGGAUGCAUGUCUCAACCUUCGACUUUCCCAAGCCCAUUAAGGAGUUGCAGCGAUGAGACAAGGUUGUAACUGGGAAGAAAAUGCUAUAUAUAUAUAUAUUUUAAUAUAUAUAUUUUUUUAAUUGGAUAGAUGGAGAAAGCAGGGAAAGACAGGGUGAAAGAUGGAAUCUACCCUAUAUUAUAUUUCUCCAUGGAGGACUACUUAUAUUCUAAAUAACACGUGUGCCUGUAUGCAGCCCCUCCUGUAUGCAGCCCUCCUGUAUGCAGCCCUUCCUGUUUGCCCCUCCUGUAUGCAGCCCUUCCUGUAUGCAGCCCUUCCUGUUUGCCCCUCCUGUAUGCAGCCCCUCCUGUAUGCAGCCCCUCCUGUAUGCAGCCCUUCCUGUUUGUCCCUCCUGUAUGCAGCCCUUCCUGUUUGCCCCUCCUGUAUGCAGCCCUUCCUGUUUGCCCCUCCUGUAUCCAGCCCCUCCUGUUUUCCCCUCCUGUAUGCAGCCCUUCCUGUUUUCCCCUCCUGUAUGCAGCCCUUCCUGUUUGCCCCUCCUGUAUAUAGCCCUUCCUGUUUGCCCCUCCUGUAUGCAGCCCUUCCUGUUUGCCCCUCCUGUAUGCAGCCCUUCCUGUUUGCCCCUCCUGUAUGCAGCCCUUCCUGUUUGCCCCUCCUGUAUGCAGCCCUUCCUGUUUUCCCCUCCUGUAUGCAGCCCUUCCUGUUUGCCCCUCCUGUAUAUAGCCCUUCCUGUUUGCCCCUCCUGUAUGCAGCCCUUCCUGUUUUCCCCUCCUGUAUGCAGCCCUUCCUGUUUGCCCCUCCUGUAUAUAGCCCUUCCUGUUUGCCCCUCCUGUAUGCAGCCCUUCCUGUUUGCCCCUCCUGUAUAUAGCCCUUCCUGUUUUCCCCUCCUGUAUGCAGCCCCUCCUGUAUGCAGCCCUUCCUGUUUUUCCCUCCUGUAUGCGUGGGGCUACAAUAACUGCCAGGUGGUGCCAGGGUCCACAGCCAACCAGCCCAACCCCAGGAGUUUGUCCAACUGUCUGCAGAACAAGGUGGCUGUUAGCGUCACCUGAGGUCAAACCUACUCUGGCUGUGGUUGAGAAUGGAGAGUUGAGUGAGAGUGACCACUGUUUGAACGUGGGUUUGAUAUGAAAUGUGUUUAAUAUUUGAAUCUAAUCAGCCUGUGUGUGUUUCUCUCAGUUGUGCUGCUGGGCAACAAUGGGAAUCAGCUGACACCUUGUUGCGUGGUGGGCCUGCAGGGUCUCUGUGUGCAACAGAGUACUGUGCGUGUCUUCUAUCCGGACCAUGAUGACUUCCUGAUGGUGGCCCAGUCUCUGAAGGAGAAGUUUGAUAUCCCAGAGACGGCCGACCUCAAGUUCAGCGUGGACGGUGCAAACAUCCACGUACAGGCCAUGCUCCACGUCAGGUGUUCCAGUACCAUUGGAAUGAGGUUUGAAGGAGGUGAUAGAGAUCGACCAGUUCUCCUACCCCGUAUACCGCUCCUUUCUGGAGUUCCUCUACACCAGGGGUCUCCAACCUUUUAAUAGCAUGAUAACUACUUUUUAAAAAUGAAGCAUGUUGUGAGCUAGUCAUUCUUAUUUUUAGCUUUCAAAUAGGCACAUUCUUCUCCUCUCCCAUGCAACUCUUCCCACGGGACUUUAGUGUCCAAGAAGUAAAUGUUUUCAGUCAAUAAACCUGGUAAAAUAAUGAUGAAUAAAUAACUAAAGGGGUCUCUCGAGUGGCGCAGCGGUCUAAGGCACUGCAUCGCUGUGUUGCGGCGUCACUACAUCCUGGGGUUCUAAGCCGCUGUGUCACAACCGCGCAUGACCGGGAGUCCCAUAGGGCUGCACACAAUUGACCCAUCGUCGUCUGGGUUAGGGGAGGAUUUGUCCGGGGGGCUUUACUUGGCACAUCGCGCUCUAGCGAC